GUCUAUGGCCGUAAGAGCCUGCAGGCACCCUGCUUGUCCGAUCACGGACGCUAAGCGGGGUUGGGCCUGGCUAGUACUUGCAUGGGAGACCAUGUAGGAAUGCCAGGUGCUCUAGGCU
Molecule: ribosomal RNA, 118 nt
Organism: Gorilla gorilla gorilla (western lowland gorilla)
Lineage: Eukaryota; Metazoa; Chordata; Mammalia; Primates; Hominidae
Source: Ensembl